RNAcentral lists this ribosomal RNA (440 nucleotides) under uncultured bacterium. Its description in RNAcentral is "partial 16S ribosomal RNA". It matches the Rfam family "Bacterial small subunit ribosomal RNA", at positions 28 to 507 of the family's 1533-position model. The record is from RNAcentral.
GAUGAACGCUGGCGGCAUGCUUUACACAUGCAAGUCGGACGGGAAGUCCUUUUUCCAGUGGCGUACUCGUGUGUAACGCGUAAGAAUCUGCCCUUGGUAGCGUAACCACAGCUGUAAACGGCUUCUAAUACCCUGUAGGCUGAGCAGCGAAAGGAGUAGUCCUCCCUAGUAGGGGCUCGCGUCUUAUUACCUUUUUGGUGGGGUAGUAGCUUACCAAGGCGGUGAUCAGUAGCAGGUCCGAGCGGAUGAUCAGCAACACUGGGACUGAGACAAGGACCAGAAUACUACGGGAGGAAGCAGUGGUGAAGAAUUCACAACAGGGGGAGGAAGGAUGAAGGAACGACGCGGGGGGGAGGAAGAAGGUCGAGGGGUAAAGAGCUUCUGUUUGUGAAGAAGAAAGAGUGACGGUAACGGGUAAAGAAGCACCGGCUAACUAUGUG